Molecule: ribosomal RNA, 301 nt
Filed under: uncultured bacterium
Lineage: Bacteria
Description: partial 16S ribosomal RNA
Rfam family: Bacterial small subunit ribosomal RNA
Source: RNAcentral
CAGUCGCCGCGGUAAUACGUAGGUGGCAAGCGUUGUCCGGAAUUAUUGGGCGUAAAGGGCUCGCAGGCGGUUUCUUAAGUCUGAUGUGAAAGCCCCCGGCUCAACCGGGGAGGGUCAUUGGAAACUGGGAAACUUGAGUGCAGGAGAGGAGAGUGGAAUUCCACGUGUAGCGGUGAAAUGCGUAGAGAUGUGGAGGAACACCAGUGGCGAAGGCGACUCUCUGGUCUGUAACUGACGCUGAGGAGCGAAAGCGUGGGGAGCGAACAGGAUUAGAUACCCGCGUAGUCCCUGUCUCUUAUAC